AAUAUUGGACAAUGGGGGCAACCCUGAUGCAGCCAUGCCGCGUGUGUGAAGAAGGUCAUCGGAUUGUAAAUCAGUUUAUGGCGGGAGGAAGGGCUUUAGGUUAAUACCCUGAAGUCUUGAUGUUACCAACAGAAGAAGCACCGGCUAACUCUGUGCCAGCAGCCGCGGUAAUACAGAGGGUGCAAGAGUUAAUCGGAAUUACUGGGCGUAAAGCGCGCGUAGGUGGUUCAGUAAGAUGGGUGUGAAAUCCCCGGGCUUAACCUGGGAACUGCUUUCAUAACUGCUGAGCUAGAGUACGGUAGAGGGUAGUGGAAUUUCCUGUGUAGCGGUGAAAUGCGUAGAUAUAGGAAGGAACGCCAGUGGCGAAGGCGACUACCUGGACUGAUACUGACACUGAGGUGCGAAAGCGUGGGGAGCAAAC
RNAcentral lists this ribosomal RNA (421 nucleotides) under uncultured bacterium. RNAcentral's name for it is "partial 16S ribosomal RNA". It matches the Rfam family "Bacterial small subunit ribosomal RNA", at positions 360 to 773 of the family's 1533-position model. The record is from RNAcentral.